This 392-nucleotide ribosomal RNA is filed under the name uncultured bacterium. RNAcentral describes it as "partial 16S ribosomal RNA". It matches the Rfam family "Bacterial small subunit ribosomal RNA", at positions 523 to 918 of the family's 1533-position model. The record is from RNAcentral.
AUACGGAGGAUCCGAGCGUUAUCCGGAUUUAUUGGGUUUAAAGGGUGCGCAGGCGGCCAUUUAAGUCAGCGGUUAAAUCGUGGGGCUCAACCCCAUUCUGCCGUUGAUACUGGGUGGCUUGAUUGCGGUCGAGGUUGGCGGAAUUUGUUGUGUAGCGGUGAAAUGCAUAGAUAUGACGAAGAACACCGAUUGCGUAGGCAGCUGACCAGACCGCAAAUGACGCUCAUGCACGAAAGUGCGGGGAUCGAACAGGAUUAGGUACCCUGGUAGUCCGCACAGUAAACGAUGAAUACUUGUUUUCGGCGAUAUAAUGUCGGAGGCAAAGCGAAAGCGAUAAGUAUUCCACCUGGGGAGUACGCCGGCAACGGUGAAACUCAAAUGAAUUGACGGGG